UCAGAAGAUGUGGUUAAUCACUCUCUCAUCCACAGGCAGACAGGAAAGCCUUGCUGAAGCGAUAAGGGAAAUCGAGGGAGUGUUCCCCAUCACUAGAAGACAGGCUGCUGGCUCCCACAGUGCAACAGUCACUUCACAACCACCGAGGACAUUUGCAGUUGAGGAGGUUCCAACGUUAACUGGAUGGUGGGCGUCCUCCUAAACCUUCCUCCUUGAUCAGUGUGACACUCAGGAGUCUUCCGGGGUUUGUUUCAGCCUCUCUACCCCCACCUCUCUCUCCGACCCCGUGUCCGCCUCUCUGAGGCGGGUGAGAAGCAGACAGAGGCGGGGUGCCUCUUGCCUCACCCCACAGCGCCCCCUGGGAAUGACCUUCCUCGGGACCAGGAGCAGCAGGGCGCCCUACUGGUGUCAGGGAUUCCGUGGACUAGGGUUUCUCUGGUCUCGCGGGGCUCUCUAAAGUGUUAUAUGUUCUUUUUCGUAAAUCAAAGAGGGACAAUAAAAGAGAGAGAGGGGGCAAGAGGGAUAAAAGGAGCAUGCGGUAGCCUGGGUGGUAGUACAUUCUUUGUUUUCUUUUUUUUUCUUUUGAGAGGAUGCUUUAUGGAUUUUAUUCUAAAGGAAUGAUAUUAAAUAUUGUUUUGUGGUUUAUAAUUCACUUUAGAUGUUCUAUAUCAAAAAAUUGCUUUUUUACUUAAAUAAGGAAACAAAAUUGUUCAAAGUGAAAAAAUUAAUUAUGUAAUAAUGGGAAAUUAAUCUGUACAUAUUAACUUGCUUCCUUAUCAAUUCUCCUUCCAGAAUGUGUUCCUUUGACAAAUGUCCAUAACCGUCUCAGCAGAUUUUAUUU
Molecule: non-coding RNA, 841 nt
Organism: Equus caballus (horse)
Lineage: Eukaryota; Metazoa; Chordata; Mammalia; Perissodactyla; Equidae
Source: RefSeq, a predicted model, not a curated record